GUGGCUGAGCCCAAGGGCUGAGUAUUAUAUUGCAUUCAUGGCAGGAGAGCACUGAAAAGUUUCAUGGAUCCAGGGAGGAGUGGAGAACGGAGACCAAUUAUACAAUCUACAACACCUACCAUGUGUUUGGAAGGGGGAAGAACCUAAAAUAUUUGGAGUCAAAUGGAGUCUAGAAGCUGACCCAGAAACUAGAAUCUUUCCUUGUGAGAAUGUUGAGGGCCAGGUGCGGUGGCUCAAGCCUGUAAUCCAAGAACUUUUGGAGGCUGAGGUGGGCAGAUCACUUGAGCCCAGGGGUUCGAGACCAGCCUGGGCAACAAAGACCCUGUCUCUAUUUAAAAAAA
This 341-nucleotide long non-coding RNA is filed under the name Homo sapiens (human). RNAcentral describes it as "HSALNT0142967". The record is from RNAcentral. Lineage: Eukaryota; Metazoa; Chordata; Mammalia; Primates; Hominidae.